This 874-nucleotide long non-coding RNA is filed under the name Sorghum bicolor (sorghum). RNAcentral describes it as "long non-coding RNA (SBIC_LNC013027)". Lineage: Eukaryota; Viridiplantae; Streptophyta; Magnoliopsida; Poales; Poaceae. The record is from RNAcentral.
GAGCUCAUAGGAGUGAAAAACAGCUCAUACAUAUGUUGUCUAAUCGAGCUAUGGAUCCAAAGGAACUCAGCAUAUAAUUAAAUCAAGAUGUGCAUGUGUGAUGGAGUAAUGAUAGUGAUGGUGAAAAUGCAUAAGUGAUAAAAUUUAGUUCUCAUUGCUCCUUAUAUUGCUAUCUCUCCUCCUCUUCUGAUCUUUGCUUUGGGAGAACAUGGGCUAUCUUUAUUUUCUCUUUUUUUUCAGGUGGGUAGUAGAUACCCCUAAUUCUACUGUCGGACACUUGUCCAUUUUUUCCGCUCAAGUGGGCAUCUUUGUACCCCUAAUUCUACUUCGGACACUUGUCCAUUUUUACCUCUCGUCUCACUCUUUUUCUUUCUUUUCCGAGGUUCUGGGCACUUGUCCCUUUUUAUUUCCUCGCAUAUUUUUGCAUAACCCAUGCCUCUUCUGCAUUGAAUCUUUUUAAAGAGAGAGAAUAACAAUUUCGGGACAGUGAGUGAUAAUAUAUAUAUAUAUUUUUAGCAAUUUUAAUAAAUGAUGAACGCUGUGGUAGAUGUGUGCAAGUGAAUAUCUUAAUUUAACCACAUGAAAAGCUCCUAAGGGUCUACACAGCUCGAUCAAACUCAAUGUAAAUAUCGUAAAAGAUGUUAUAGCAAGUAUGGCUGUGGUAGGUAGUUUUGUUAUGCUAGGAACUCAUCAUGUGAUUUAUAGGUUUUCAAAAUAAAUCUCCAGAACUUAGUGUAGUAGAAACAAGAUAAACAGUAGCUCAACUUUAUAUCAUGCCUUUCUCUUACCUAGACUUUAGUUUUAUGCUUCCCAAAGAUAGUAAUUUUAGUUUUAGUAAUUCCUGGAAGAAUUCUAAUAUAAAAGCUAGGUACUU